RNA transcript from Carya illinoinensis, 3093 nucleotides. It is a transcript of the gene named zinc finger CCCH domain-containing protein 11-like, with no coding region annotated. The record is from RefSeq and is a predicted model, not a curated record. The transcript has 9 exons. NCBI's taxonomy places the organism in Eukaryota, Viridiplantae, Streptophyta, Magnoliopsida, Fagales, Juglandaceae.
AUUUGUGUCGUUUCCUGAGAAAUCACGGUCCUGCAAACAAAAUAAGAUCCUCCUAAGUUCCCAACCCUCGUUCUCAACUCGUCCUCCUCAGCCGAUUGCAGAAAACUCCGAGAAAAUCCGGUUUAAAACCAUAAUCACUCUCUUGUUCAAACAAAUCUACCUCCAAAUAGUUUCUUCCCCUUUUGUUUUCUUUUCGAUUUUCUUAUUUUCUAAAGAAAGGAAUUCCAGAUUUUCUUUUUAUAUAAAAGUUUAAGCAUGCCGCCGAAGCAGCAAUCGAAGACCGACUUGGCGAAGAAGCAGAAGGUCGUGGAGGACAAGACCUUCGGGCUUAAGAAUAAGAACAAGAGCAAGAAUGUACAGAAGUAUGUCCAAAACCUCCAGCAAUCGGCCCAGCCCAAACCCGACCAGACCAAAGCCGCCGCGAAGAAAAAGAAGGAGGAAGAGAAAGCAAAAGAGAAAGAGCUGAAUGAUCUGUUCAAGGUUGCGGUCAGCCAGCCAAAAGUUCCAGUCGGUGUUGAUCCGAAGUCUAUAUUAUGCGAAUUUUUCAAGGUGGGACAGUGUACCAAGGGUUUCAAAUGCAAGUUCUCACACGAUCUCAAUGUCCAGAGGAAGGGUGAGAAGAUUGAUAUUUACAGUGAUAAGCGUGAUCAAGAAACAAUGGAGGAUUGGGAUCAAGAGAUGUUGGAGAAGGUGGUGGAGUCAAAGAAGACCGAGUAUAACCAGAAUAAACCAACUGAUAUUGUUUGUAAGUACUUUUUGGAAGCAGUGGAAAAGAGACAGUACGGUUGGUUUUGGGCUUGCCCAAAUGGUGGCAAAGACUGUCACUACAGACAUGCUCUACCUCCUGGAUAUGUUUUAAAAUCUCAAAUGAAGGCACUUCUAGAGGAAGAGACUGAAAAAAUUACAAUUGAAGAAGAGAUUGAAAAUCAGCGUGCUAAAGUAGCAACCACUACUCCAAUGACUACUGAGCUGUUCCUUCAAUGGAAGAAGAAAAAGAUAGAAGAAAGAGAUGCUGGCUUGGCUGAACAGCAAGCAGAUAGGGCUAAGAAUGAUCGCAUGAGUGGUCGGGAGUUGUUCCUUUCGGAUGCUAGCUUGUUUGUGGAUGAUGCUGAGGCAUAUGAAAAGUACCAAAGAGAAGAAGAACGAGAGGCUGUUGAACAGAAGCUACUAUCUGAGCAGGUGGGCUGGAGGCCUGAGCCUGGUGGGUUGGUUUUAGAUUCUACUGGGCCCAUGGAUGGUAACCAUUUGGAGAGGCCUUUCGAGGAGGUUGAGAUUUUUGAUGUGUUAAGGAAAAUUGCUAAAGACAAGGUUCCGGGUCCUGAUGGGUUUUUUAUGGAUUUCUUUCAAAUAUGCUGGGAUGUGUUAAAGGAUGAUCUCAUGAAGUUAUUCCUGGAGUUCCAUUCGGUUGGAAAAUUUGAGAGAAGCCUUAAUGCCACUUUUCUUGCUUUGAUACCGAAGAAGGUUGGGGUUGAGGAGAUUAAGGUGUUUUGACCCAUUAGUCUAGCAAAUGGGGUAUACAAGAUCAUUUCUAAGGUACUUGUUAAUCACCUUAGUGAGGUUGUGGGAAAGAUAAUCUCAAUGCCCCAAAAUGUUUUUAUGAAAGAUAGACAUAUUUUAGAUGUGGUGCUUAUUGCAAAUGAAGUCUGGAUAGUAGACUGAAAGCUGGCAAGGAAUGGAUUAUUUGCAAGUUAGAUAUGGAGAAGGCGUACAACCAUGUUAAUUGGGACUUUCUACUCGACCUUCUUAGGAGGUGUGGUUUUGGAGAGAAUUGGCGAUCAUGGAUCUGUUGGUGUAUAUCUACAAUGAAAUACUCAGUUAUGAUAAAUGGAAGUCCAAUAGGUUUCUUUGAUAGCACACGAAGUCUAAGACAAGGAGAUCCGUUGUCCCCUCUACUCUUUGUUAUUGAUCGCCUUGGCCCUAUUUAAGGAGAAUGACCUCAGCCCUUGUCCUCAAUGGGCGUGUGUCAAGUUACUCGAUCGGAUCCCUGGAAGGGGGUUCUAUUAAUAUUUCACAUUUAUUGUUUGCAGAUGACACUCUUAUCUUCUGUGAGGCAAACCGUAACCAGGUUCAAGUAUUGAAGGCCCUCCUACUUUGUUUUGAAGCAUCUUUGGGGUUGAAAGUGAAUUUGGACAAAUCAGAAAUGGUGCCUAUUGGAUGUGUUCUGCAUCUAAGACAGUUGGCUAAUACUCUGGGUGUAAGACUGCCUCACUUCCUAUCACAUACCUUGGCCUACAGUUGGGGGUCGCCUCAAGAGCGGCUUCUGUUUGGGAUACAAUGAUUGAGAAAGUAGAGCGUCUCUUAGCAAGUUGGAAGAGAAUGUAUCUGUCAAAAGGUGGUAGGAUUACUUUGAUGAAGAGUACACUAUCUAACCUACCAACCUAUUUCUUGUCCUUGUUUCCUGUUCCAGCAAGUGUGGCGCUUCGCAUUGAGAAACUACAACGAGAUUUUUUGUGGGGUGGAAUAGGCGAGGAAUUUAAAUUCCACCUAGUCAGGUGGGAGAAGGUAUGCAGUCCUACAUCUAAUGGAGGUUUGGCUAUUAGAAAUCUGAGAAUUUUUAAUCGGUUGUUAUUUGGAAAAUGGUUGUGGAGAUACCAUAAAGAACCAGAAGCCCUAUGGAAGUUGGUGAUUGAGAGUAAAUAUGGUGGUUUAUGAGGACGAUGGUGUUCCAAUGAAGUGAGAGGGGCUUUUGGAGUGGGUUUAUGGAAACACAUAUGAAGAGGAUGGAGGGUUUUCUCUCGCCAUUCAAGACUAUGCCUAGGAGAUGGAGUUAGAAUUAAAUUCUGGCAUGACACUUGGUGUGGUAAUGGUGCUCUAAAGGACCUAUUUCCUGCACUCUUCAGGAUUGCUAAUGCAAAAGAUACUUCAGUGGUGGACGUUAGGGAGAUAGCAGGGGGGACAAAUCCAGUGGAACAUCAAUUUUAGCUGGGUGGCAAAUGAUUGGGAAAUAGACAGUAUUGCAGCUCUUUUCAGCCUUCUGUACUCCCUCCAAAAUAGCAAUCAGCAGGCUGACUCAUUGUGGUGGUUACCUACAUGUAAAGGUUAAAGAUUACUCAGCAGCAGGGAAACCAAGUACCUCAACCAAUACUGUUGCUG